GCAAAUCUCUUAAAGCCGUUCUCAGUUCGGAUUGUAGGCUGCAACUCGCCUACAUGAAGUCGGAAUCGCUAGUAAUCGCGGAUCAGCAUGCCGCGGUGAAUACGUUCCCGGGCCUUGUACACACCGCCCGUCACACCAUGAGAGUUUGUAACACCCAAAGCCGGUGGGGUAACCUUUUGGAGCCAGCCGUCUAAGGUGGGACAGAUGAUUGGGGUGAAGUCGUAACAAGGUACC
This 234-nucleotide ribosomal RNA is filed under the name uncultured bacterium. RNAcentral's name for it is "partial 16S ribosomal RNA". It matches the Rfam family "Bacterial small subunit ribosomal RNA", at positions 1267 to 1500 of the family's 1533-position model. The record is from RNAcentral.